RNAcentral lists this unclassified non-coding RNA (1157 nucleotides) under Apis dorsata (giant honeybee). Its description in RNAcentral is "uncharacterized protein C1orf43 homolog, transcript variant X2". The record is from RNAcentral. Lineage: Eukaryota; Metazoa; Arthropoda; Insecta; Hymenoptera; Apidae.
UUCUUUGAUAUUAUAAUUAAAAAUAGAAAAAAACAUGAGAUUUUACGCGUGCGCGUAAUAGAUUUGAAAUUCAAUGGAAAUACAAAUGGUGUAAACAUGACUGAAGAACUCUCUGGUGUCACAAUAGUGAUAUUUAUUGCGGCCGGAGUUUUAACAAUAUUAUUAUUAUUCAUAUUUGCAAAACGACAAAUAAUGAGAUUCGCGUUACGAUCACGUCGUGGUCCUCAUAUUCCUAUUGGACAUGAUGCAAGGAAGUCAUUGAAGAAGGAAAUUGAAAGACGGAUAGAAGUAAUACCAAAAAUUCAAUAUGAGCCACAACUUAUUAGUGAUCCAAGACUUAUUUUAACUCCUCGAGGACAUGUUCCACCACAUUAUUAUAGAUUAAAAGCAGUGGAUGAUGUUAAAACUUUAGAAGCUGAAAUUACCAAAUAUGAUAAUUGUUUAAGGAGGCAUCCAUCUGAGAAUUUACGAGCAUAUUUACUUGCCACAUUAGCAACUCCAUUAAAUGGAAGUGGACAAAGAUUAAUUCAUCAAUUCUGUGAUUUAUAUGAACAUGCACGACAUGAUCCAACUGAAUUUGGAGACGAGGAAUAUCAAGUAUAUACCCGUUUAUUUCUUAAAUUAAUGGAUGCGGCCCGUUUGUUAAAAUCGUAUCCGAGCAGUAGAAAAUCUAGUCCAAGUCGUACACCUAUAAAGAAAAAUGUUGAGACGAAAAGGAAUAUAUUAGAACCUAAAAUGAAAUUACCCGAAGAUCAAACAUUGACUGGUUCACGACCAAAUACAUUAACGGUAAUGAUGCUGGAUAAUAAUGAAACAUCUGUUUAGCAUUAUGAAAAUCGUCACAUACAACAUAUGUGACGAAUAGUUGUUUCAUAAUUGCUAAUUUCUACACUAUACGAAAUUGCAAAGAUACUUACAUAUUUGCAAAGCGUUGUACAAAUAAAUAGCCGGACAUAAAGUAAUUACUUCUGCCAUCAAUAUCAACAUAAGAUUUCCAAUAUAGUUAUCACAAUAGUCUAUAAUAUUUAAUAUAACAUCGAAAUUCGAUCUUGGAUCAGAAUCUUUUUUUAAUAAUUGUAUGAUCAAAGAUGCGAUCAUUGGCAAUAAAGCGGUACAAUGUUCUUUAUCCUUCUCUGAUAAAGCUUUCUCUGCAAGUU